CCCGCCCACACCAGACCUGCUGAACUCGCUGACCAGCCGCGCUGGAAUCCUCUUCGCCCAAGAAACACCUGAGCAGGUCUGGACUGCUCCAAAGCGAACCAGGUAAAUUUCCACGCUAGCUCACUAUGGACUUUCCCCAGGCCCUGGGACCCAUUCACACUGGCUCUACGCAGCUUCCCAGCGGAGAGGGAGAGAAAGAGAGAAAGAGACACACACAGAGAGACAGAGACAGAGACACAGGGAGAGACAGAGAGAGAGAUAGAGGCAGAGAGACAGACAGAGAUCCCUGCCAGGUGACCAAGCAGCAGGCAGGUGCACCUUACCUUACGCAAGCCAAAUCCAAACUGCGACGCAGAAAAACGCACGGGCUCUGCUGGAAACCUAGUUCUCCGCUUCUUCUCAGUCUGGGCAGCACCCGGCAGGGUUUCCUGCGCAGCGCACGCCGCUCCCACACCGUAAGCGCGGACGCAGAUCCUGCCCUCGAGGGGCGCAGCCUCACCCCCAGCUAAAACGCAUUUCCCUCGGGGCUGGCACCUGGGAAGCGGCCACACACCUUCGGGGUGUCCGCCCCACAGGUAAGGAGGCGCCGCGCGCCUCCCAGAUUUCUUCUUUCGGUUUCCCCAGAGAGCCCCGGCUGCAGAGAGCGGCGCAGCCCCCGCGCCCGCCGCGAGCACCCCUCCCCGGCCACGUGCGGGUCACCCGACUCCCGGGCCGCGCCGCGGGGGGCCGCACCCCGACACACCUCCCUCCGACCCGGCUCCGGUCGCCUCGGCCCCCCGCACCCCCGUGGCUCGGCGCGCGCCAAGUUGAGGCUCGGCGAAAGAGAGGGGCGCGGAGCGGCUGGGGCGGGGCGACUCGAGCCGAGGACUUGGGGGCGCCGUGCCCCUCCCUCCGCGCCCGCCAGAUCCCCGCGGUCUCCGCGCCCCGCCCCGGCCCGCGCUCACCCUCCGCAUGGUGCCUCCCUGGGCUCUGCGCGGCCUCCGGGAGGGGGAGGGGGAAGAAGAGGGAGGGGUGCCCCGCCCACCCCACCCGGGGGCCUCGGCGCGCCUCCUCGGCCGGGAGGGACCGGCGGCCGGCCCACGCUGGGCCGUGGAAAGUUGCCGCCGGCGCUGUCGCCGACCCGGAACGUGGACGGAGAAGAGGGGCGGCGGGCAGCGUGGGGCACGGUCGCCGCCGGAGAGGACUUCGGGUUUCUCCCACUCGAUGGGAAAGUGGCCCGUUCAGGGUCUGCCUACCGGGGCCUUUUCCCCUCCCUUCAUGUGGCUGUCUUCAAACUGUUCUCUUUUUGCCCUUGAAAGAAUAA
RNAcentral lists this long non-coding RNA (1303 nucleotides) under Chinchilla lanigera (long-tailed chinchilla). RNAcentral describes it as "lncRNA (ENSCLAG00000023102.1)". Lineage: Eukaryota; Metazoa; Chordata; Mammalia; Rodentia; Chinchillidae. The record is from RNAcentral.